RNAcentral lists this ribosomal RNA (92 nucleotides) under Pteropus alecto (black flying fox). Lineage: Eukaryota; Metazoa; Chordata; Mammalia; Chiroptera; Pteropodidae. The record is from RNAcentral.
AUCCAUGGCCAUGCCUCCCUGAAGCGAAGCAGGGUCAGGCCUGGUUAGUACUUGGAUGGGAGACCACCUAGGAAUACCAGGUGCCGUAGGUG